Callithrix jacchus (white-tufted-ear marmoset) is the source of this 8369-nucleotide non-coding RNA. The record is from RefSeq and is a predicted model, not a curated record. Lineage: Eukaryota; Metazoa; Chordata; Mammalia; Primates; Cebidae.
ACGCCCCCUCCCCGCGCCAGUCCCUCCGGGUUCUUGCCACUGGCUUUCCGCACCUCUGCGGGGUCCACAGGCCCAAAGCGCCCACCCUGUCCUCGACUGUGUCCCGUCCACGACCCCGCCCCUCCUGCUGCUUGCCCCUCAGCACAGACCCAGGCCCCGUUCACCUACCCCUGCACUACUGAGCUCGCGCAAGGCUCUGGCCCUCACCCCAAACCUCUGCUUCCUCGAGCGCAGCCCCCUGCAGCUCGGCCCCUCCUCACCUCAGCACCUCCUGACCCUUUCUGUUAUAGCUCCGCCCCUAGGGCCCUCCUGUCCCAUGUCCCGCCCACAGGCCUGGCCCCGCCCCCUGGAACCCCGCCUUUUCCCUUCGAUGCCCCCAGUCCGCGCCCAAACCCAACUCCACCGCCUCUUCAGUUCUUCAUCAACAGGGCCCGUCACAGCCCCGCCCCGCCAGCGAGAGGCCCCGCCCAGCUGCCGCCCCUCCUCCCUUCCUCCCGCGCCCCCGCCCCGCCCGCAGGCUCCGCGCCGGGAAGGAUUCCCGCACCCGUGGCUAAAGUGGCGUUCCGCCGUCCGUUCUGCGUUGGCUCCGGGAUCCCGCCAUCCAUCCACGGGAGGUACUGCUGUCGCCUGGUGGUCGUUUGUGGUGCCUAUGAAAAUCCUGCAAGCACAGAGCCUCAGAGCUGUCACUAGAGACCUCCCUCCAGCUUCCAGAACCACUUGGAAGGACCAAGAAGUCUGUGAGCGUGCUGUGCAGCACCAUGAAGUCCCCACCCUCCUGGACCCAAAUGCCUGGUAUGAACUUGCCUUUGCUGAGGUCCCCCAGAGCUGCUGUCUGCAAGGGGCCUCUGCAAAGGCAAGUCUACUCCCAGUCACUACCCCAACUGUCCUCCUUGAAACACCACCCUCUAUGCCAAGGAAGGGCUAGGAGUAUGGCAUAGGAGAGGUGGAGAGAAUUUCUGCUUCCCCUGCUAGGAGAUGACUCCUGCUUCCCACCCCCCAUCCUCUGACUGCUCCCUGGGGAACACACAUGUGGACACUUAGGGAUAGAAGCAUCAGUGCUGCCCACCUGACCCCCAGGGAGGAGAAAGCUUCAGCCCACCCUCAUCUGCUGCUGAGGGCUGAGGCAGCCAUUUCUCUCACAAGCCUGUACAGCUGGGGCUGUGCUGCCAGUCUUUUGCUUAAUUGCAGGGGUUACCAGGGAAGUGGAGGCAGGAGAGGCAGGAGGGCUCAGGGGAAACAAGUACAGAAUCAGAGGAGUCAGGCAGACUUGGGUUUCAUACCAGCUCCACUGCUCACUAAUGUGGGACCUUACAGGUGUGUCUGCCCCUUUCUGAGCCUCAGCAUCCUCAGCAUAAAAUGGAGACAGUAAGAGAAUCUACCUCACAGGGAUGUUGGGAGAAUUCAGCAAAUUCCUGCAUGUGAAACAUUUCACAUAACACCCUUCAAGGGACAUCUAGGGGCAACCAGGAGAGGGAGUCGUACCAUCAGUCAGGCCCAGCAGGCCAGAGGGGGCCCACCUCAAUACAGAUCCCAUGGGUUCAAACACACUGAGAAGCUAGGGACCCCCCUUCACCAGCAGCCUUGCCUGGCCCAUGGCUGGCUAUCAAUGACUUAGCUAGCAGCAUUAUUCCCAAGGGUUAUGGGGCAGGGAGGCCCUUUAGUGAGUCUGGAGGAUCCCAUGAAGUCAACUCUAGGCAGGGAUGACCUAAAUAGAUGCUAGAAGCUGAUAUUACAGCUGCACACAACAAUCCCCCAGUGGGUGUUUCUGUGGCAUUUCCUAUUGUGGGAAAGACACAGGAACCAGAUUCAAUGUUCUGGUCUGGAGCUGGGCUUAGUUCUAAGCUGAGCAAGGGGGUGCCUUGUCUCAAGGGAAGAUGCUGAUCAGAAGAGGGUAUCUCAGAGUGUGGCUAAUGGGCUCUGAAGGAAGAAGGGAACCCUGUUUUCUAAGGACCCUUAGUUCCAAGGGUGGGAGAGGAUAUUUCAGGUGACAAGCAAGAUUUUGGUGACUUUACCUGAGGCCUGUUGCUUUUACAUGCAUCAUCCAAAUGUUUGUGCCACAGUAUUGCAUGAAAUCGGGAACCAGUUUGAAACUUGUAAACAUUGCCUGAUGGGUAGAGAAACCAUGGGUUAAGAAGAGGGCCACACAGGCGGGUCAGCUGGUAACUGUAGCAUGAGGAGAAAUGUAAACACGGGUAACUAAACUAGGAAGGUCAGCCCCAGGUGAGCUGGAACAUGCAGAGAAAGCAGCCUCCUGGGCUCCCUCCAGCUGUCCCUUUGGACCAUGGCUUUUAACCAUUUUGGGGCCAUGGGUCCUUUGGCUGUCUGGUUAAGCCUGUGGACCAUUUUCAGAAUAAUGUUUCAAAUGUAUAGAUAAAACGGAAAUUGAUAAUACUCAAAUACAGUUAUUAAACUACUAAAAAACAAAUCAGCAGUAAAAUUCUAUAGGUGCUUCUAUAUUAAAUCACUAAGAACAAGAUCUAGUACAGGUUUGAUACUGCACUGUGAUUUCAAAGAGAUGAGCAUACGUAACAUUUUGAAAUGUCUGUAACAAUAUGUGAUUUGAAAUAUCUGAUUUAUCUUAGAGAUAAAAUCACAGGUAUUGCUAACAGUUUUGUUGUCGGAUGCUUAUACUCAUAACUGAAGGAGUCAGAAGGCUCUGAAAACAAAGAUGUAUUUUCUUUCCGCCCAAGUUCACAGACCUCUUGAAUUCUAUCCAUGGACCAUGGCCACCCCUUGUGUCACAUUUCCUUAAGAAAACACUGCUAAUCCAGUCCAGACUGUUGAGAGAGAAAGAAACUCAAAUGGUAACCAAACUUAGAACACACUGCCACAUGUGUGCAACAAAUGCGGCUUCAGUCACUUAGACAUGGGGCGGAGAACUUGGCAAUUUCUUUCUUCCCCACUCCGGGCUCUUUGAGGCUCCCUUUGUUUCUCUGCUUCUCAGCUAACAACAUUAGAGCCUGACACUCAAGGCAUGGUCUCUCCACUAGCACUGGCAUCUGCAUUGCCUGGGGGCUUGUUGGAAAUCUUGGUUUCUACCCUAGAUCUGCUGAAUCCAAAUCUGAAUUUUAACCAGAUCCCCAGGAUAUUUGUGUGCUCAUGAACCCUAUAGUAAAACAUUCCUGUUAAGGUGUGAAAAUGCUUGGGGAUUUUCCAGCUCCAAUCAGUUUGCCUGGUUGGAAUCCAACUGACCCAGGCACUUUGGGUUUUUGUCAUGUGACAUGGGUUACUGAGGAGACUUGCGGUAGUCUGUUCUGAAUGUUGAUGAAGACAGGGCUGCUGGACAGGAUGGCGUCCAGAAUCUCUCCUUCUUCCCAGCAUGAUCAUGAAGCGGGAACCAGGAAGAACUGGGAGAUAGCUAGAGAAGGUAAAGUCGGAGCUUUGGGAAGUUAAAAGGGUUCUUCUCUGGGUUGGCCUUCAACCUGGACACUGCCAGAGUAUCAUGGCACAUGCAUGUCAGGGAGUCCCUGAAAUCUCCCCAGAGCCAAGACCCUUCCAGCCUCAUAGUCCUGCCUUAUCCAAUCUUACUGUUUAUUCCAAGACCAUGAGGCUACAGUUCCUGGAGUGAUGGGCCCCAGUGGCCAUAGGUAAGGCCGCAAAAAGGAUUCUACCACCCUGCGCUCAUACCUGCUCAAUGGACACACCAACCAUGAUCUAUGCAGUUUUUGUGGACUAGCAUGGACCCCAUGAACAUCAGAAUCUAAAGAAAAGGAAAGGCAGCAGCCUUAAAAGAUCCUAAUAACUUGAAAAUGCACAGAGAGGAAAUGGGCAGAGAGCAGCUGCAGGCACCGGCUUUGGCAUGCUGCCUACCUUUGUCAGGGUUGUUCAGCUGGAAGAUAUCUGGGUGCUCGGGGUCAUCAGGCAGCUGCACCAUCCAGCCCACGAUGGAAACCUUUUUGCCAGGUGUGGAUUUAUACUGGAGGAGAGCAACAACAUAGCUGGAGGCCCGGGCCCAGCCCACCACUCCACAGGGGAGGCUGACCUGGGCCAGGCAGGCUCCUUCCCUCCCCUGCCAUCUUCCCACCCCCAUACUCCUCAGUUCACUUGAUCCCUUUCCCACUCCCAUCCUCCACAGUUCACAGAGGUCCCUUUCCCACUAGACAAACUCCAAGUAUGAGAGUCUUUUCAAGGGACUUACAUGUUUUCUGUCUGUGCCCCGCAAGGACUUGGCUCCGUAGUACAGGAGGGUGGAUCCUGAGAGUAUGACCCAGUACCUGGUCCACGAGGACAGCUACAGAGGAAGGGGAAGCUGAGUGAUGCCACCAGGGGUGGUGGGGAGUAGAGGCCCCCUGGCUCUGUGAUUCCAGACCCAGCCACCCCAUCAAUGCCAGUGCAGGCUCCUGGCCCUCCAUCACCCCCUGGCAAUGCCAGCUUCCACCAAGGACCAAGAUGGGAGGUGUCUUUCGUCCCCUCUCUUGCUCCUUUACUCAGGGAGCCUUUCCUUUGUUCAUUUCAAGGCAGUGCCAGGCAUAAUUUCUGAGAGUUCAGCUCGCUGCACACUCACUGCAAGCAGGGCCUCUGCCACACAUGUGACUUUCUUGCUGAGACCUCUAGGAAUGGGCACUAUUUGCAGAUGUGGAAACUCAGAGGCCCAGGCAGGGCUGGAAUCUUUGGAUCCAGGCCCUUCACUGCUGCCCUUGCUGCCCCAGGUGGAUGUGGGUCUGCACUUACUGCAGGCUUCCGCCCUUCUUUGAGCAGGGUUUUUCUUCUCAGAGGCCCUUCCAUGGUGGGCACCGCUGCUGAGUUCCCCAGAGAACAAAUGCACGGGCCAGUGGGGCUGAGAAGAGACCAUCAGUCAGACAUUGUCCUGUAGGAGCUGAGGUCAAGCACCCUCUCACUCACUGGGGACCACAGGUGUCCCAGUGCCAAGUCUGUGAUGUCCCAGCAAUCCAGAGGACUCAACAGUGCAGGGCAAGGCCUGGAGGAGAGCGCCAGGUGAUGACGCACAUGAAGGACCCCACCGCCAAGGACUCCCACAUCUGUCUCUCUGGGGCUACAAAGCUCCAGGCUUGGUGACCAAAUUCCUCAUAAUCCAGACCCCAAUCAGCACCUCCACCUUAUCCUGAAGGAUGCUUUUAUCACAGCUGCAGCCUGGCCACUCCCUGGGGCUGGUGUGGGCUCCUCCACACCUGAAGAGCUAGUGCCUACACAGCCCCAGCUGUAGCAGCUCCUCCUUCUGGUGUCAGCCGGAGCCUCGGAGGAGCAGUGAGAAAUGGAAGAGGCAGUGUGGAGUGGCAGACGGACACGAGCCAACACGCACCAUUCCCCAUACCUUUCCCAGGCUCUUCUCUCACCCUCUCCUUUGGGGACUCAAGCACCAUCUACAGAUCAAGGCAUCCAAGGGCAUGGCAGCCCAGACCUCCCUCCUGAGCUCCAGAUCUGCCCAUGCCCCAUGAAUGGCACCACCCCCUACUAGCCACUUCAGCCAGAAAGCUGGGGGUUUUCUUCUCUCUCUGAUGCCCCUGCAACCUAAUCAAUCCCAAGGAUGCACUGGGCAUCAGAUACUAAAUAUGCCUGACCAUGUAUCUUAGCCAUCCCACCACACCUUAGGCCAUGGGGCCUUCCUUCCAGCCACUGCUGAGUGUCCUUCACUGGCCUUCCUGGGUCCACACUGGCCAAUACCUCAACCCUCCCUCUCUCCUCUCCUCUACCUGGUCACAGCACACCCCUUUCAUGGCUCCCUGUUGCUUUUAAAAUCUGAGCCACCAUCCUCACCCCUGUUGGAUGCAGCUGCAGCUCAUCUCAUGUCCCUGCCCUCUCUCAUUCCUUCGAACACGGCCUUUCCUUCACUCUAAUCACCUGGCUCUUCCUGUCUCACAGUCCACGGCUGUCCCUUUGCUGGGAGCACUUGCAUUGCCCUAACUGUCCACUCCCAAUUAUUUGGCGAAUUCCUAUCAUUCUUCCAGUCUCUUCUUCAGGGAGGCCUUCCCUGAUUUCCCCAACCAAGUGUGCUUCUGCUCCUCUCCCUGAGUGCCCCUAACCUCCUCUAGGACAGCCACUGCACCUAGAAGUAGCCUCAUGGAGGCAAAAGCGUGUCUGUUUCUUUUGGCAGCCUCUAGCACAGUGCUUGGCAUCCAGCAGGCCACAUAACAAGCUAUGUGUUGAACAAAUGAACACAUGAACACAUGAAUACCUGUAGACACAGCUCCGGGUUCUAGGAGAAUUCCGAACUGGAACCCGCCAGUUGGGCCCCAGGGUGGCAUAGAGACGUCCCCUGCUACAGAGGAAAAGGGUUAAAUUUUAGCAACAGCUUUGAAAGACCAGAUGCUCCUUAAGGAGGCAAGAGCACCCCGGACUACAUGGUCAAUUAGCUGAGGAAGCGCCACAGAGCAACCUCUCUCCCAGCCUCCUUGGCCACACUGCAAGCACACCUGGAGUUGCCAGGCCACUAAACACUGCGCCCCUCAGAGUCCCCAAGACCCCAGCUAAUUCUUUCAACUUUUAACUGAGUGUUCACCAUUUUUCCAGGGUCAAGAGCAUGACUAAAAUCCAGGCCCGCCCACUUGCCUUGGCCUAGGGCUGAGAUAUUUCAAAGCAAACACUGUAGAGCCGAGAUAGUCCAUGGCUAGUCCACGUUAACAGUGCACACAGAAUUGUGGGCAACCUUGCAGGUUGGGCCUGAGUGUCAUUCACCAGGACGUAACUGGAGCCUUCUGUGUGCUACAUCCUCUGUGCUGGACGGUCUCCUCUGCAGCUCCAGCCAGGUCUCUGCAAACUUGCUUUGUGACCUGCUGCAGCAUCCAGGAGUUCGCACUCCAGGGUUACUCUGUUGGCAGCCCUCUGGCUUUCUUCUCGCCUGCACUCCCUGGCAGUGUGCCUUUCCAGAGCAACGUGCAGCUUCCUGCUCAACCUCUUUGCAUGGAGGCACCCUCUUUCUCCUUUACCCUCUCCUGUCUUAGAAGACUCACUUCCUGUAUCCAUUUGAUGUUCCAACCUUUCCCCAACCCUUCAAGCAUGGCCUAUUGUCUGACCACAGCUCUUCUUGCCCAUUGGCUAGAUGACAAUGUAGUCAACUUAAUAAAGUCAGAUGAGGCCCGGAGUUCCUUUGUAAGAUCCCCUUGGUCCUCCACGGUCAGCCGUACAUUGCUGCACGUCGCUCUGUGACAUCGGCGCCUGCGGGUGGUGUGGGGCCACCCCCACGCAUUGCAGCAGGUACAUCAUACCUGCCCAGGGGCCUCUGUCCUCCCUCCAGGAAGGAGCUCUUCUUGAUGACCAUCUUGGGUCCACUGUCCAGGGACCCAAUUUCAGGACUGGUGGGAGUCUGAUGGUUAGCUGGGACAGCUGCUCUUGGCCCCUCAAGCCUCCUGCCCAUCGGCUCUCUUCCUCUCUGGGUGAUGGUGUAUCAUAGCAUGAGCUUGGCUCCCCAGUCCUCUAACAUAGUGUCAGGGUGGUCAUAGGCUGACCCCACCCCCACCCCUACUGAGCUGUGGCAGAGAGGAGAGAGGCCCUGGUGUGCCCAAUUCCCCAGCCACUGGCCCAAUGGCACCUCCCUCCCAGAAAAAGGGGUGGAGUGCAGUGAGUGAAAGUGACCCAUGCAGAUAACUGUGAAUCUCUGAUUUUGGACAAGCAAACAGUCCCCAAAGUCACUGUUCCUGGCACCACAUACUGAGCACCUCACAGGUGAGUGCACUAGCACAGCAGGUCCCAAGUCUGUGUGGAAGAAGUGCUGCUCAGGGGAAUUGGCCAUGGCUGCCUCCGGGGCUGCUCUUCUUCCAGCCAUCACCAGGAUUUCUUCUGAGCAGGGUUUGACAAUGGCCUUUUCUGUAGUGAGAUCCUUUGUGGCUUUGUCUGCUACCCAGGAACGUUUCCUCCUCAUCUGAGCUGGAUUCCAGCUCUGAGCUGCCACCUGUUUGGAGUUGAGGAUAGAGUCUCCCUUCCCAGAGCCAGGCCCUCUGGCCCCUUUGCCACUUUUCUUCUCCUGAGUCUUUUUCCCUGUUACCUGAGGAGAAUAUGUGAUGGCAGUGGACCGUCCACAGUUCCCACAGUACCUCAGACAGGGUACGGGGGCCAGCAGAGCUACCUUCUUCCCAUCAUUCUCUCCAUCAUUUUCUCCUUUUGCAUGAGACAGUACAUGGCUUUGUAUUUUACAGAUGUUUGAUGGAAUGACAUCUUUGAUGGAGAGCUUGAAACGAGCAUCUUCCAGGCAGGCUAGCCUUGUAAGGGGCCUUUCCUCAUGUCCUCCCUAAAGGGGUGAGGAGUGGACUGGCAGGGAGCACAAGGACACCCGGGGACACUGGGUAGCUCUCAACAGACCAAGCAGUCACUAGGCAGUGAGCGCUCACAUGCUCUGAUGCCCCUGCAACCUAGUCACGUGCAUUCAUGCUGUCACCGAAGCUUUGUGUAAAGCACCCUUACCCUCCCCACAAUGA